UAUGGAAACAGAAAGCUAUUGCAGCAGAAUAGCUCUCUGUCCAGAAAUGUUAAAUGGCACAUGCAGCCAUUCAGAAAUCCAUUUUAUUGUUGUUUAGCUACAUGAGUCAUCUGAUCAGAGAAGAGAAACAAGCAACUGGGGCUGGGAAGCAGCCAACUAGGGCUGAGAAACAAUGCUGUGCGACUGGUGCAACCAAACAACAUGCAUGUGAAGCACUUGCAAUGAACUGUCAGGAACAAUCUGCAGCCAAGGUUUAUUUAUCACGGAUACACAUCAGCACUGCCAAGCAACAACUGAAUGUGCUAACAAUGGAGAGGCCAUUCAUUAACUGAGUGAUUAGUAAUGAAAUGCUUCUCCUGCUCCAGGCUCUGUGAUGGUAGCUACUGGCCCAGCAACCAUGGCCAACCUCCAGGAGGACUGCUGUCAUCAGAAAGGGCUCUUGGUGAAAACCUGGCCACCCCUUUGCUCAUGGAAGCAGCCGACCUGCUUCACUGGAUCUGGUGGCCCCAAACGACAACUGGGCUUCAGAAAAUAGCUGGACCAAGCCUUUGAUGGACACUUGCCCAUAGCACCCCUAAAACAAAUGACAGCCAGCUGAAAAAUGUCACCACACUGCGAUAGCCCUGCAUCCAUGGCACCAAAGCCAACAUGCGGGACUGGUGAUAAUGCCAAUAAAUCACAGGAAAAAGCCAUGCCAAAACCAGGGAACUGAUGUAGCUUUUUGUCAUCAUGACUCACAAGGAACAGAAAUGGGCUCAAUGCAGGCUAAUGUCACUUUAGGAAGUAGCAGCAGAUUAUGGCAAACCACCCAGUCUGACUGUGCUAUCAGUACCACAGUUCCUGGGCCAAAUCCAGGCAGCCACAGAAAGAUCACAUUUUCCUGGAAGAUCUCACAAGAGAAGACGACCAAGCACACCUUCCUACAGGUGGGAAACUGAGGUACAGCUGGGUUAGGUAGCUCACUCAAAACCAAGAAGGGAUUUGGCUUCCAUCAUUGCUGUCACAAACCAUGUCCAGAGGAGACCAGGGUGCAAUUUCACCAAGGUUAACACUCCUCUUCCAUUGAAAAGCAUCAGUAGGUCUUAAAUGAUGGUGAUCAAAGAAAGUCUCUGAGCCAUGAAGCAGCUUUGAGAACCAUGAGAUCCAGGACAGGGAUGCUGGGGCUGCCUGGUGCAGGGAUGCAGGCAGGGGACUGGCCAGAGUCGCUGGCAGAGAAGAGCUCUUCUGGGUGUGAUUUGCUUUUGCAGCCUUCCACGCGGUGGAGUUUUUCCUUGAGCUUUGCUCCAUAUGUCAUGACUCACUGGCAAAACAACACCCGCCGCUUCGGUAGUUUCCAUACAAUUAUGGGGAGGUUUGCCCAUCCCGGCUGCACAGGUCUGAAAUGAUUUCCAGAUCUUGUGUGAAAGUGGGGGGAGGACAGAGUCAGGGACAGGAUGAGGAAGGAGAGGCUCUCAGUUUCUCUCUAUACCUAUUAGGGCUAAUUGCCCCCUCCUCUCAAUCUGCCGGAGCCCGUACCCCACCCUAAACAAAUACAGGCUCCUAUGGCAACACUUGUUGGGGAAACUUAACAACUCAUGCUCCAAAUUACAUUGGAAAAACAUAUGAGGGGAAAAUAAAAAAAUGACUAAUUGGAUUUGAGGCCCAAGAGAGCCAGGCACAGGGUUUGGGGACUGCUGUCCCUGCUCCUCACCCGGUGCCUGGAGAACACAGUGACUCCCAUUGCUUCGCCUUGACAAGAAUCUCCAGAUGGUUUCAUCUUUGCAAGCAGAAAGAGCAAAGUAAGGUGCUAGUGGAUCACCCUUGAGGGCACAGGCACCCUCAUACUUGCAUCAGUCUCAUUUUGGUCUUGUAAGAGUCAUGGCAAGGGAGGACAUGGGCAAUGCAAUGUACUAAGAGCAUGUGAUGUGAGAGGAAAACCCGUACAGACUCUGUUCAGCCUGUGCUUGGGCCGUGUGGCUCCACAGAAAGCAAUGCCAGCAGUGAGAGAAGGGAGGUUUGCCUAGGUCGGUGACUUGCAGGAACACCCGACAAAGUUUUAAGAAGCUGACAAGAAAAAAGAAGACACCAGUGCCCAACCAUGCCAUGCAAAGGCAACGGAUGUGAUCCAGGAAAAUGGCCAGCUGGGUUUCAGUCACCAGAAUAUGCAUCCUCCAGUGUGUGGGGAAAAAGGGCUGGUUGAAAUGGCUCGUAUAAAUUGGGAAAAAAUGAAUAAGGUAAUUGCUGCAACUGCCUCCCACCGCAUUAAGUGAUAGGGAGCUGCUCGGCUAGGUGGUAUGCCACCACGGCAGCCAGGCUGUGUCAGCGAAUCUCCCCACUCGAGCCAUCCAUCUUCCUUGUUUAUUGAGACAGGAGCUUCAGCAGGGCAUGUGUUAGCACGUGGAGGUGCAGCAUCUGGCACUGCUGGGCCCAAGCCCUGUGCUGCCGGCAUAAAAAUAGUAACCACGAAUCAAGUGCUUGGCAAUUUAAACAGGCUAAAAUACCAUGCGCUUUCAAAGCCGGGAAUCAGCACAAAUGAAAAGAGAAAAAAAUUAAAGGGGAAAAAAAAAAAAAGAGGGAAAAAUAUUCCAGGCAAAGGAGGGAUGUGAGAAAGGACUGGUUAGCUGCCGCCACAUCCCAGGCAGAAGCAUCUCAGAGGGCUUGGCAGUGCUGUUUCUCUCGAGGCUUCCAGGAGAUGCCAUGCAGGAAGCACCGUCUGCACACGGUGUUUUUCCACCAUCCCUGCAGAGCCCCAGGGCCUGGGCCGAGCUGGCUGGCUCCCUCCCGGUGGGCUGCUGUCCUGCUCAGCAGGGACGCCCCAGUGCCACUGGGGAGGCAGGCAGGGUCCAGACACUUUUAUUCAAAUCCAUCUUAUGUGUAGGUUGAUUCACUGCGAAAGAGCAUGAAAGGGUGCAACAGAGUGAGGGAAAGACGGAGCAUGAAGAAUAAAUCACAGAUGCCAUCAGUAUCAUACAUACUUUGGUGCUGCGUCACAGGCAUUUGAUGAACAUUACUUCCCAGGAAUGGCGGUUUUGCUCUGGUUGAGCAGACCUGAAGGCCCAGUACCUUGCUUUUGGCGAUGACCCAUUCCAGAUGCUUUGGAGGAAGGUGGAAAAAAGCACCCGGUCAAUUGUGUAACUGAAGAGCUGAAAAGACUCUCCUGCACUGCCGCUGGGAUGGAAAGUGCUUGCGAUUUCAAUCUGCCCACAGCUAGAGAAAGCCCAGAUCCCAGUUUCAGGGGAUGAGGUCCAGCCUUAAUAAGCAAAGUGUUUCCUUUCCCUGCAGCCUUUGGGAGGCUGCACAGGUCCUGGGCUUUGCAACUGUGCUGCUCCCAUCCAAGCAGGGUGCAUAGUUUGCUUUCACGCUGCUUCUAAGUCAGCAUGGAUUUUGCUGUCCUUUCGUCCUUCCCUUUGGGCAUUGGUAUUUUGGGCAUUGACCUUGGAUCCUUUGCAUGCUGAGACAACCACAUGUGACCCUGCAGCUGAGGGGGUGCAGGUGUCUUCGUCCUUCUCAGCUGUCACUUUCAAAGCAGCUCCAGAGGAACAGGGGAACUGUCGUUUCGGCAGGGGAGACAGGCAGGGACAGGCCCUAGAAAAGCUGUGGCUGCCAUCAGACCCACGCCUUGUGCAUCAGCUUCACCGCUGUGAAUUCUGCUCUUGCGAUGGAUGAGUCAUUAGUGGUGGAAGGAUCAUUUGGAGGAGACAGGAGGGAGAUGGCAUGGCAGGGGAGACAGGGACAGGGCUGGGCGAUAAACCUCUGCUGGGGAAGUAUCUCCCCUCGCUGUGCUUGUGGUCUUCCAGGAGCCUUGCAAGGUCUUUGAGCACAAGGCCCCAAAAGUGUCAGCAUGUGCUCAGCACCAGAAAUGAGAAAGUAGCAGUAACCAGGGCCAGGCUCUCACCGAGCACAGCUGGAAACCCCAGCCCAUUUGGUGACAGAGGGAUGUCAGCCCAAACCAGGACUCGCCGACCCACGGGACAUGAACCUUGAGCUGCCCCAGGGCUGGAGACUGCUGCAGCUUCAGGGCUCUAAGAUGUGCAAGCCGCUGCACAUGGUGGGGGGAGCAGGCAGGGGUACGUGGGGAAGGAAAGCACGUAAAGGCUGCAGCAGCCCUUGGCCAGAGCUAGGCAGAGGGCAGCUUCUCCCCGCUGGAUGCCUGCCUUUCCUUCCCACCUCAGCCACUAGCCAAAAUAUUUCAAAAGCUCUGGGAGGUCCCUGGGAGGACUUGAAGAGUGCCCAAAGCCUUGUUAAAAGUUUGGUUCACUUAAAGCCCCUAUGCAUCCACCACCCCAGCUUGGGUCCCUGGAAAUUACCCCUCCCAUCCCUGCCCACAUCCCUCCAACAUCACUCCAAACCACUGUUUCCCUACAGAAAACGGGCUGGUGUCAGUCCCUUCAGCCACAGACACGGCAGGAGCUAGUUGAAGUGAUACUAUAGCCCAGUGUCCCCAGGACACAUCCCUUUCCUUGCACACACACACACACACACACACUCACACUGGUGAGGCAGAGAGCCCGGCCAUUCUUGGCUCCCCCUGCUUGCCCAGGGAAGUUGACUGGGAAUGCAGACUGUGGGAGGAAAUGACAAUGUUCAUUGUUUGGAUUAAAUAUUUUUCUUGGCCCUCUCUCUGUUGCAGUGUGUCUUUUUUUUUUUUUUUUUUCUUCUCCCCCCCUCAACACCCCAAGCACAUUCACUUUCCCUCUCUCCUUCCUGAGGCUCUCCAGCACGCAAGAAGGAAAUCAGCUCUGAAAAACACAGAGAGGGACAGAGAGGGAACAGGGCUGGCUUCUGCUCAAAAAGCUUUUUCGAAUACCUCACUGCCCUCAGCCACUCCAAGCAGCAAGCGAGCGCUACCUGGCCCAUCACAGCGAGGGAGGCAGGGUGAGCACUGCUCAGAGGAAUAGAGCUCUAGAAAUUUGGCAAGCAGCACCUGGGACCAACUAGCCUGAAGAAGAGAAAAGAGAAACAAAUUCCUACAGACCUAGUGCUCCAUCCACCAUUUUUGUGUCUCCCAGUUUCUGUCCCCUGAGCUGUCCCUCUGCUCCUUUUGAACCAUGGCAGCUGUCCCUUGGAGCCACAUGCCUGUAGGACGGCUUACUUGGAGACAUCGUGGAGCUGCCCCAUCACCUCAGACACAGCCAGAAAGCAAAAUGGAGAAAUGCCAGUUGUUUCUGAGCUUACUGGUGUCCCUGAGCCACUCACUCAUCAGCUCAGCAUGCAGACCGCUUUCAUCACAUCUCAGGUCUUCAGGAACAUCUGCUCCAGCUCCAACAUCCUUCUCCCCAGGCCUCACUAAGAAAACAGAGGUUUGUUGCUUGAGAAAGUACUCCAUAUACUCGAAGGAAUGUUUCAAGGAAGAGGUGACAGACUGCAAGGCGGCAUCCUGCUGUCUGGUUUCAGCCUAUGUGCCAUCACUUGUACUGCCACACCCAGGGCAAGCAACAGCCCAGCUCCCAGCAGCCUUGGUAUGCAGCUCUAGGUGUUCUUCAGGACAAAGCGGGUCCCUUGGACAUGGGUUUCCUGCAAACACCUGGGCCUCGUUUGAAUCAAUCUGGAUUGAAUUUGGACAGGAUCAGUGUCUGGAGGGGGAUGGAGAGCACAGAGGUUAGACUGCUGCUUGGUGUCCAGCCUGAAUGCUGCUGUAGAUGACCAUAUUGGGAGAGCAGGUCUUUGCCGUCACGGUGCCUGAAAGCGCUUCUGUGUCCCAGGCCAGGAUUUGGCUUGGACACACUUCUGCUGCAGAAGUGAGUAUGUGGCACUUUGGGCUACUGAAUGGGGAUGCGUUUCUUUAUCCAUGUCCUGCUCUGUGGCUUGCUCCUCAGGGACCCCAUGUCUCAGCAGACAGUGACCUGGAAAGCGCUUUGCACAGUCCACAGGGACAAGAGUGAAGAAAGGGAUGGAAGGCUGGUGUAGAUGAACACCACAUCAGAUGCUGACAGGAGAAGAAAAACAGAAGCAGGAAAGAACAAGUGAAGGGAAGCAGAGGAAGAUGCUGUGUGUCGAUAGUGCUCCUGGCAAGCAUGGUGGCUCCCAGAGAUGGGUCUCCUGCGCUCACUAUCCCCAGGGCUGCUGCUGCACGCAUGAGAGAAGCCAGGACUUCCCAGGCCACGAGCACCAGCCUGCAAUCCUGCCCUCAGCAGCUCACCUGCUGCCAUGGAUUAGAUCUUCUGCCAAGCUGUUUGUGCAAAAUAUGUUGCAGGAUAGAACGGGUUAUGGAAAACAAGCCCUGAAAACCACAAGGGCCUCCUGACCCACUUGUAUCUGGUUUCUGCCAAGUUCUUGUUACAGAUCUUAAACAGAAAGAAAAACAAUGUACGAGGGAUGAAGGAGCUGAAGGGGAAUAAAUAUUCAUGUUGGAAGAGCA
Long non-coding RNA from Aquila chrysaetos chrysaetos, 6337 nucleotides. RefSeq lists it as uncharacterized. The transcript is spliced from 2 exons. NCBI's taxonomy places the organism in Eukaryota, Metazoa, Chordata, Aves, Accipitriformes, Accipitridae. The record is from RefSeq and is a predicted model, not a curated record.